AGAUUUCGCUAGAGCAGACACAAGAGCGACCCCAGUGAGGACACAAUCAGUUAAAUUAUUAUUAUUAUUCCACCUGUGGGUAGCAAGUCCGACCUCCCCCCAGUGCUGGAGAGCCUCAAGGGCAUGCCAGUUCACCCUGCUUGUCUAGAUAGCAUGCGCCUGCCUCUUCUACAUGCAAGCUUGUCCCUGUUUGGAAGACUGCAGCCAUUUCUGCUCUUGCUCAGAAGAGUGCAAUGUGCUAUGCUGCCUCAGGAACUUCUGGAAUAGUCAGCCUGUGGCUAUGGAUCCACAUACUUGAGGAUAAAUCAUGAGAAGAUUACAAGCACAUCUUGGCUGUGCACACCUGUGAUGGACAGACUCUCAAUUUCACCUGUGCUCAGGGUGAAGUAAGAAUUAAACACUAUGGACUAGACCCAAGGAUUCACCAGAACUUCAAGUGAGUGCAGAGCCAUAAAGGUCACACGUGUCUGCCUCCUCUCUGCAGGCAAACCUGCAGGCCCUAGGUCUACUGAAGGAACCAGUCCAGAGACACCCAUGCUCAUAAGAGAAAAGUUGAGUGGUCUCAGACUUGGUGUUGGUACUAUAAAAUGUGAACAAAUUAAAAAAAAAAAAA
Long non-coding RNA from Mus pahari (shrew mouse), 613 nucleotides. RefSeq lists it as uncharacterized. Lineage: Eukaryota; Metazoa; Chordata; Mammalia; Rodentia; Muridae. The record is from RefSeq and is a predicted model, not a curated record. The transcript is spliced from 3 exons.